AUUGAACGCUGGCGGCAGGCCUAACACAUGCAAGUCGAGCGAGUGGCGGACGGGUGAGUAAUGUAUGGGGAUCUGCCCGAUAUAGGGGGAUAACUACUGGAAACGGUGGCUAAUACCGCAUACUAUCGGAUGAACCCAUAUGGGAUUAGCUAGUAGGUGGGGUAAAGGCUCACCUAGGCGACGAUCUCGAGCUGGUCUGAGAGGAUGAGCGGCCACACUGGGACUGAGACACGGCCCAGAGUCCUACGGGAGGCAGCGGUGGGGAAGAUUGCACAAUGGGCGAAAGCCGGAAGGCGCCAUGCAGCGUGUAUGAAGAAGGCCUUAGGGUUGUAGAGUACUUUCAGCGGGGAGGCGUUACCCGCAGAAGAAGCACCGGCUAACUCCGUGCCAGCAGCCGCGGUAAUUC
RNAcentral lists this ribosomal RNA (406 nucleotides) under uncultured bacterium. RNAcentral describes it as "partial 16S ribosomal RNA". It matches the Rfam family "Bacterial small subunit ribosomal RNA", at positions 29 to 526 of the family's 1533-position model. The record is from RNAcentral.